This 317-nucleotide ribosomal RNA is filed under the name Streptomyces sp. MBT70. Its description in RNAcentral is "partial 23S ribosomal RNA". It matches the Rfam family "Bacterial large subunit ribosomal RNA", at positions 1220 to 1537 of the family's 2925-position model. The record is from RNAcentral. Lineage: Bacteria; Bacillati; Actinomycetota; Actinomycetes; Kitasatosporales; Streptomycetaceae.
UGUGAUGGGUAGGGGAGCGUCGUCUGCCGGGUGAAGCGGCACUGGAAGGUAGUCGUGGACGGUUGACGAGUGAGAAUGCAGGCAUGAGUAGCGAUACAAACGUGAGAAACGUUUGCGCCGAUUGACUAAGGGUUCCUGGGUCAAGCUGAUCUGCCCAGGGUAAGUCGGGACCUAAGGCGAGGCCGACAGGCGUAGUCGAUGGAUAACCGGUUGAUAUUCCGGUACCCGCUGUGAAGCGUCAAACAUCGAGCAUCGUGAUGCUAAGGCCGUGAAGCCGUUCCGGACCCUUCGGGGAAAGGAAAGUGGUGGAGCCGCCG